Molecule: ribosomal RNA, 119 nt
Filed under: Salmo salar (Atlantic salmon)
Lineage: Eukaryota; Metazoa; Chordata; Actinopteri; Salmoniformes; Salmonidae
Source: RNAcentral
GCUUACGGCCAUACCAGCCUGGGUACGCCCGAUCUCGUCUGAUCUCGGAAGCUAAGCAGGGUCGGGCCUGGUUAGUACUUUGAUGGGAGACCGCCUGGGAAUACCAGGUGCUGUAAGCA